RNAcentral lists this ribosomal RNA (501 nucleotides) under uncultured bacterium. RNAcentral describes it as "partial 16S ribosomal RNA". It matches the Rfam family "Bacterial small subunit ribosomal RNA", at positions 30 to 523 of the family's 1533-position model. The record is from RNAcentral.
AUUGAACGCUGGCGGCAGGCUUAACACAUGCAAGUCGAGCGGAGAUGAGGUGCUUGCACCUUAUCUUAGCGGCGGACGGGUGAGUAAUGCUUAGGAAUCUGCCUAUUAGUGGGGGACAACAUUCCGAAAGGAAUGCUAAUACCGCAUACGUCCUACGGGAGAAAGCAGGGGAUCUUCGGACCUUGCGCUAAUAGAUGAGCCUAAGUCGGAUUAGCUAGUUGGUGGGGUAAAGGCCUACCAAGGCGACGAUCUGUAGCGGGUCUGAGAGGAUGAUCAGCCACACUGGGACUGAGACACGGCCCAGACUCCUACGGGAGGCAGCAGUGGGGAAUAUUGGACAAUGGGGGGAACCCUGAUCCAGCCAUGCCGCGUGUGUGAAGAAGGCCUUAUGGUAGUAAAGCACUUUAAGCGAGGAGGAGGCUACUGAGACUAAUACUCUUGGAUAGUGGACGUUACUCGCAGAAUAAGCACCGGCUAACUCUGUGCCAGCAGCCGCAGUAA